RNAcentral lists this unclassified non-coding RNA (10150 nucleotides) under Cimex lectularius (bed bug). RNAcentral's name for it is "titin homolog, transcript variant X3". The record is from RNAcentral. Lineage: Eukaryota; Metazoa; Arthropoda; Insecta; Hemiptera; Cimicidae.
UGUGGGCAGGUUGUCUACUCCUACAGAGUACAGUUCAUUUUGUGGCUUAAACCAGGAUUGGAAACGAGUGUCGCCUUUGUAGUAUUUGUGCGAAAUUAUUUUUCAUAGCGGGGAGAUCCUUGGAAAAGAAAACAGAAGGGAGUUGCUACAACUCUGUGAUUCACUAUGGCGACGGUAGUGUACGCAGAUCUGAACACUAUACAAGAUGAAGAUAUUCUUCGAAGAAUGUGGGCGAACACAGAAGAUUUUGGGAGAAAGAAAGAAAUUAGAGCCCGCAUGUAUAAAUUAAGAGAACAACGAUUGAAGGACUUUUACACGACCGGAGAUGUAUCUGAUAUGAACAGGAAGCACCAACAGCUGCCGAGGCACGCAGAGUCCCUGGAGGAUCAAGGGUUCAUGACAAUGAAGAGCAAAGAGAUCAGGGAUUCCGAAUCGCCAACGAGAGACAUGAGCCGACGUAAAGGCAACGGAUACUGGGAUUCGAGACAAGAGACCGUCUACGGUAGAGGAAAAGAAGAAGACGCCAACAUCGAAGUGAAGUACGUGAGCACGGAAGGUCGGGGCGUUGUGAAAGAAGCCGAUAUGGAGAAAAAAGUGGCCUACCAGACGGAAUCGGCCCAAGAAUCGACCUGGAAGCAAGACAAUAACAGUUUUAUGAAGGCCGAGACUCAGAAAGAAAUGUCCCAGUCCGCAUCCGUUGCAAAAAGCGACAACACAGAAGAACGGACUUUCGCGCAAAACGAAGAGUUCUCAAAUUUUAAAACUAUGACUGAACAGAAUGAAAGUAUGUCGUCUGUGUCGAAUGUCAGUGCCUCUACAUCUUCCAGGCAGGUGACGUCCAGUUCUUACCGGACCACGUCCGAUAAUAACCAAGACGGCAAAGUCGUCGUGAUCGAAGAUUUCGGGACGAACGCUCGUCCCCUCGUCGAACUCACUUCUGAUUCUAUGAGAGAUUUCAUAGACGACGAUGUGCAAACGGAAAGCUGCACGAAUCAACAUAAACGAGAAACCACAUCUAAAACUUCUACUACAAAUCAGAGCUUAAAGCAGGUGUUUUCCACUCAAACUCUGGACGACUCUGUACAAUUGGACCUAACGAAUUUUCGAGUAAGAGGCGAAGAUGUGGACGUUGGAGAAAACGUGAAAGUUACGGAGUAUCGUACCAUUACGGAUAACCAAAGCAGAAAGGAAGAUCAAACAAACGAACAAUUAUAUAGAAAUUACGAGGUUGAGAAAUCUCAAGACAGAUCUUUAGAACAGACCGUCGACAUUUCAACUCUUAGAGAUUCCUCGAAAAAGGAAGAGGAUCGAUCAGCAAGGAGCGAUGAUUUCUUAACUGCCGAACAGAUCCAACGGAAGACGUCCCGUACGGGCAGUUCGACGAGACACGAAACGAUUGUAAACGAGAAAGCGGCUACUGAACAGAAAAUACUGAACGAAAUUCAAAAAUUGGAUAGUUAUCUCUCAACGCAUACACCGGCACCAUCGACUCCGGCGAGCCCUCCUUGCGAACCCGAUGGUGGGUGGACUCUCGUCUCUGACAAAGGCGGUGAAUUCGUUUAUCACGAGAGGAGCGAACCCGAUGGAAAGAAGUCCGCAGUUCCAAGUCACGCGGCCGGAAAGAAAACAACACCACCUUCUUCGAUGGACUUGCCUACGAGCGCUACGGACGGACAGUACAUGACCACGUACCAACAGUCGUACAAUAAAAUUUCCGUCGAUCAUACUCCUUCGCACGAAUUUUUUGUAAAGACAUUGAGGUCCAGCCCAGAGAGAUCUACCCCGUCUCCGACAAAGCGAGAUUACACUUCUUCGAGCAGUAGAAGUUCGCCCGAACGUAGAAAGUUGAGCAACUCUAAAAGCUCUUUGGAAAAGAACACCCCAGACCACAGAAGAAGGGCCGAUACUAAGUCGCCCGAGUAUUACGAAAAGAAACAAAGGAGUUCACCUUCUAAAUCUCCAGUUCAAAAAAAGAAACAGACCACUCAUCACAAUGAAUCAGCGACCAGUGCGAGGAAACAUUCAGAAACAAGAAUUACCACUAAAGAAACCAAAUCAAAGAGGAAAUUUUCUUCUACCAAGGAAAGGGCUGCAAAUCGAAACAGAGUGGCUACCCCAGGCGCAUCUCCUUCGACGAGUCCUGUACAUAAGAAAACGGGCAAAGAGACAUCCGACAGCGAUUCUGAUGCAUCGCAAGCAACAUAUGACUGUACAAAGAAAUCGGAAGUCAUAACCGAAUCUAGGACGAAUAUGACCACGAUUAGAAAAAAAGAUAAGAAAGAACAAUCACCGGAAUUUUCUUCCGAAGGAUCCAUCACAAGGGAACUGAAGAAAAAAAAACAGACCACCCCGGAACCCAGCGCGUUCGCUCCGAUAAAACAAUUCAAAACCACUCCGCAAGACUUGACGCGGACUGAUAAAGACCAAUUAAAACAUAUAAAAUCGAAUAAAUUGACAGUCGAAAAUGUAAGAAAACACAAGGAAAACGAUUAUUUGCCGACAGGGAGAACUGAAAAUUUCGUGAAUGAGGAACGUGAUGAAACGAAACUUGUUCGACAUGAAAAUAAAAAUGUUCGUACAACAAAAGGGACUGUUAACACAGUUCAUGAUAUCUGUGAAAUGAAAGACAAUGUUUUGAGACAGAGAGAUGUGCAAAGGGAUAUUGCUAAGGAUGAUACAGAUACCAAAACUGUUGAAGAACUUACAUUUGAAAAACAAGCAACUUCCAAAACAUCAGGUGUUGUCACUGCGCCCUCCGAAACGUUAGAUAAUGAAGAAAAACGGGAAAUAUCCAUUGAAAGCACUAAUCUAAAAUCGCCCGAGAAAAAGGAAAGCGACGAUUUUGAUCCCUCAGUGGCGAAGAUGUAUAAAGCUCCUUUUGCUAGACCAGAAGAUCAGAAUCCUGAAAAAAGCUUUGUCCGUCAGCCUUCUGCAACGACCCCCGAACGUCAUCAGCCUGGCACAGAUAGACUACAUCAUGAAAGGAGCCCAGACCGUAAGCAACCUGGCACUGACCAUCAACACCCUGAAAGAAGCCCUGAUCAUAAGCAUCUUAGCACUGAUCAUCAACAUCCUGAAAGAAGCCCCGAACGUCCUCAUCCUGGUACAGGCCGUCAACUCCCUGAAAAGAGCCCCGAACGUCAGCAACCUGACACUGACAAUCAACACCCUGAAAGAAGCCCUGACCAUAAGCAUCUUAGCACUGACCGUCAACAUCCUGAAAAGAGCCCCGAACGUCAUCAUCCUGGUACAGACCGUCAACUCCCUGAAAAGAGCCCCGAACGUCAGCAACCUGACACUGACCAUCAACACCCUGAAAGAAGCCCUGACCAUAAGCACCUUAGCACUGAUCGUCAACAUCCUGAAAGGAGCCCCGAACGUCAUCAUCCUGGUACAGACCGUCCACAUUCUGAAACGAGCCCCGAACGUCAUCAUCCUGGCACAGACAGACAGCAUCAUGAAAGGAGCCCAGAACGUCAUCAUCCUGGUACAGACCGUCAACACCCCGAAAGAAGUUCUGACCGUAAACAACCUGGCACAGACCAACAACACUCUGAAAAAAGCCCUGACCGUAAGUAUCCUAGCACUGACCGUCAGCACCCUGAAAGAAGCCCUGACCGUAAGCAUCCUAGCACGGACCGUCAAUAUCCUGAAAGGAGCCAGUCACCAGUCAAAAAAUCAGUACAGGAAACUUCUCUCAAGAAAAUGAAAACAUCCGAUGAAAAAACAGAAAGAAGAGAUUCUUCCAACAGAAGUACAAAAACUAAAGAAACAACGACACUCGCGAGGCAGGACAAUUUUUCAGUUACAAGACGAAAUACACAAAAACCUAUUUGCAAUGACUCAAAACCAAGAAAUACGUCAAAUGUACCUCUGGUCAAAAAACCGAUAGUUGCUUCAAAACAUUUCACACCAGAACGCAAAUCGACUUUAUCGAAACACACAACUAAGGUAGUUACUUCUUCAAGAUUAGAGCAGAAUACAUCUCCUGAUUCCCCAACUAGAAGACAUCCAGUAUCUCCAACCGUUCAACGGAAAACUGCUCAAUCUAGGCAACUCAUUCAAGCAAGAAAAGUACCCACGUCGUCUCAUAGACCUCAAACGACCCAACCAACGACGACGAAAACCACUAAUGCGUCACCUUCUACACUUUCCAAAACAACAAGCACUUCAAUCCAAGAAACAACAAAAAUAUUGCUCGGAAGAAAGAGGGAAGAUACAACGACAAAGAAACGGCCGUCAUUCGAAGGCGGUAAGACGGAAUCGCCCAAACCGAAGGUUUCAAUUCCUCGCUCGGUUCCCCAAAAAUCGAAACUUGUCGAUACGAGUUCUCGCCCAGCACAGAAACCACAAACAGAGACUUUUAACAAGCCACAAAGAAGAGUUGUUCCAUCUCAAGUUAAACUGCAAAGCAAAGACACAGGCAAGACUGCCAUAUUGACAACAAGGGAAACGCACAGAACGGAAACGCAAAAUUUUUUAAAGAACGAAGCUAAGAGCGUUUCCGAUUUGGAAGACGAGACACCUCCGGAAGAAUUUUAUGGAGAUUUAGACGACGAAUUUGAUUCUUCUAUCCAGAAAAGUAUGAGUACAUCUGCUACUCAGGUAAAAGUGCGAAACGAUGUUUACUAUAAUGCCAAGAAGGAUCAAACUCACGAACUCGAUUCGAGAAACAGUUCUGUUCUGUCAAUGGAAGAAGAUUCUCCCACGAAACCCAAAUCUCAACCGUAUAAAAAAGAACCAUCCUUGAAAACAAAAGUGAAUCAAGAUUUGUUAAACGUUGUUGUGCAGCAUCCGAAGUCGUCAAGGGAAUCGUCGCCGGGUUAUUCAAGCACUGCCGAUAAUUUUGCAGUCACGACGAGCGAUGACGGAGAAAGCAACCCUAGAUACGCCGAUUUCGUUAGCGAGCCUGAAGAUGUUGAAGUAUUCGACAAACUGACUGGGCCAUCCGGUCCUAUUCCGUACAGCCACCGAAUCAACGACGAUGUUGGCGAUGAGAACGAUGUUCCAAAGAGUGUAGCUGAGAAAGUCAGUGUUUUCUUAAACGAAGCUAAAAAAUCUUUAGAAACCAAGGUGACAGGCAACCAAGUCCUUAUCGACAAUUCCAACUCCGUCUCCAAAGCGAAAACACUAUUUGAAAAAGUAACCAAGACUGAAAACGACGAGAAAAAGCACCAUUUGAUUGAAGAUUUUGUAGAUCGCCCGGGGAAAAAAACAAAAACCGAUUCUUCAUACUAUGAGACUCACAAAAUCACCGAGCACGUUGACGAUACAGCUGAAGGAGAAUUUGACCUUGCUGUAAACAGUCUACCGCUGAAAACCAGCAAUGAAACGGACUACCGGCAGGAAUUGAAAGAAACAACAAAAUCUUCCCGCAAAGACACUCCUGUACCUAAACCUCUGGGAAAGACCUUCUUACGAAAUGAAAACCGCAAAUUCAUCGAGAAAGAAUCGAUAGGCGCCAAAACCGAUGUCAGCACGAAGAAAUCAUUUUUUGAAAAUAAAGCGGAAGAACAAAAGCAUCCAAGAAAGCCGAAACAAGAACCAUCGUCUUACGCGAAAGACACCCAAGCGAGCACAGUGCGUUCCCGGUCUCCGGAUAAGGUGCAUAGCAAUGAGCAAAGGAGGAAAUCUUCCGUAACAACUGAAGAUGUAUCUGCAAUGGAAAGAAGGCAGUUCAAAUCUGAAGUAACUGUCAAAACAAUUACCAAAUUACACGAACCAACAUCUAGUUUCGAUAGAAACGAUUCAGACAAAUCUAUUUCCUCGAGAAGAUCUUCAAAGCCUGGAGAAAGAACACCCUGCCUUCCUAAAUACCAGGAAAGCACAAAACAACCUGAACGAAGGGGUUCAAGUCCUACAAAAGGUUACGAUACGGAGAAAACUAUUGGCUCUCCAAAAGUGACAAUGCAUUACGAAACCACUGAAAAAUACGAAUCACAUACCACCACUCAAAAUGUAAAUGAUACUCCGCGAAAAACCGGGCCGCAUGCUGCUUUUCCGACGAAAUCGUAUGAAACGUCUAGAAAAACCGACCAUACUACGUAUUCUCAUUCUGGAGCAUACGACAGUCCUAGGAGCGCCGAGCCGCAUGCCUUGAGUCCACAAUCUUACGUGACUUCAAGAACAAUCGGACAUACAUACCCUCAUUCUGGAGAAGUCGACAGUCCUAGGAACGCUGAGCCCACUGCCUCGAGUCCAAAAUCCUACGAAAUGUCCAGAGAAACCGAGUAUACUACCUCUACUCAUUCUACACCAUACAACAGUCCUAGAAACACUGAGCCCCAUACCUCGACUCUAAAAUCUUACGAUAGUGCUAGAACUACAACCACUCAUUCGAGAAAAUUCGACAGUAACAGAAAAACGGAGCCUCGUGCCCCCAGUCCGUCGAAGUCCUAUGACAGACCCUGGAAAUCUGAGCCCCGUGCCACCAGUCCGCCAAAGUCCUAUGAGAGUCCCAGGAAAUCUGAACCCCGCUCGUCCAGCCCACCGAAGUCCUAUGAUAGACCCUGGAAAUCUGAGCCCCGUGCCUCCAGUCCGCCAAAGUCCUAUGACAGUCCCAGGAAAUCUGAACCCCGCUCGUCCAGCCCACCAAAGUCCUAUAACAAACCCUGGAAAUCUGAGCCCCGUGCCACCAGCCCGCCAAAGUCCUAUGACAGUCCCAGGAAAUCUGAACCCCGCUCGUCCAGCCCACCAAAGUCCUAUGACAAACCCUGGAAAUCUGAGCCCCGUGCCACCAGCCCGCCAAAGUCCUAUGACAGUCCCAGGAAAUCUGAGCCCCGUGCCUCCAGUCCGCCAAAGCCCUAUGACAGUCCCAGGAAAUCUGAGCCCCGCGCCUCCAGUCCAUCUAAAUUAGGUACAAAAUCCUACGAGAGUUCUUUAAAAUCAGAAAAUGUCGGAGAACAAACUGUGAGAAGCUACGUAAAAACCUCCGAUAGUGUCUUACAGCGAACAUCGAAACCUGAAAACGAUGUGAAAACAUUGUCAAAAUCCCUCAACGACAGCACAAUCUUCAAACAGAAUGAGACUGUUCUUCAGAAAACAAAAACAGAAGAAAAAUUUGGUGUACAACUUAGAAAAACUCCUUCAGCGAAUAAAUUCGACACCAUAACCGUAAGACUUAAAAGUUCAACAAGUGAAGCCCCCGCAAUAGAAAAUAUAUAUGAUUUGGAACUUCUUGAGCAAAUGCUAAUUAAGGCCGAGGCUUACGAAGAAAGAAGAAGAAUAAGAGCCCAAAUAAGAUUGGUGAAGAAAGAACUCGAGGAACAGCACAAUAGCAUCACAAGAUCUACAAGCGUUCAGACACGAACACAUGAAGUCAAAUCGCACACAUCUUCGAGUAGAGAUGAACAUACUUCAAGGAGAAGCGUCAAAGAGCCGAGCCCCGAACCUAAGAUGUCUUUGACGAAACCCUCUUACAACACACGCGUACAGAACAAGGAAGAAGAUAAAGAAAAAACUGUCCCUAAGAGAUCUUACUCCGAAAGGCCCAAGUCGACCCACUCGCCCGAUCAUACUUCCGUUAAAACCGUUACAACAACCACAACAAUUCGUGAGAAGUCUGAUUCAUUCAGUAGAUUGUCUCCCGAAGAAAGAACCGUCUGCACUUACGAAGUGAAAAGCCAACCGGUCGACUCGUCGUUUUUGUUUCAGAAAUCGACGGAGCCUCCACAGCCUGAAAAAUCAUCUAAUUUGAAAAAAACCUCGUAUGAACAGAGGAAGACGACCACGACGUCAACCACCACUACAAACACGGUAACGGACCCGAUAACGUCUUCUUAUGGCAUGGGCCCGAUUGACGAACACGGAAAACCACUUUUUGGACUGAGAGCACUCAGAAGAACUCAUCAGGAUCAAACACCAGCAAACGAUGAUUUGGCCAGAACUGAGACAGUGACUUACAAUACCUACACUCUCACGACCAGUGAUUUCGACGAGCCGGCGAACCUCGCCAGCCUGAAGACGAUGUCGAAGGUCGACAGAGAAUUCUCCGGUCCCGAGAUCGUAGAGGUGAGCAACGACGAUUCCGCUUACUCAGAAGACACGAGAAGGACGUCGAAGGAAUACACCGUCGAGGAGGUCUCGGAACUGGACGGCUACCUGAGCACAGGGCUGAAAUCUGAAAAUAUAAAAAGGUUCACUUCCCACUUGCAGAACCUGGAGAAUUCGCAGACUGAAACAGGACAUGAAGAAGAGACGAGGCGGCCUUUGGUGAGAGGCGAUUCUGUCAAAGCUCUGCAACACAAAUACCAACAGGCUACAGAAGCCGCUAACCAAACAUGUGGAGGAAGUUCAUACCCUAAGGCUGGUCUCAUCCUUCGUUCUAACAGUCUCCAACAUUCCGAUGAUCCAAAUCAAUCGUCGUCAUCGAUGAGAAAGACGAAGACGGAAACAGUGGAGACUACGAGACGUGUGUUGCACAGCUCCUACGGUGGAGGCGGCGGUGACAAACAAGUCGUCGUCAAGGCUCAGAUGUCAGAACAAGUGGAAGACUCUUCGGGGCUUAAGUCUGCCCGUCAAGUUCAAGGUGUCAAGGCGAUGACGACCACUAUGACCAAAGACGGUCCUGUCGAGAAGUCAUCUUCGGCUGUGCGGGUCACCACCUCUGGAGGUGGCACCUCUAGUACCACAACGACAACCUCCUUCCUCGACAACAACGCCAAAGUAACGGGUGUGCAAGAUAUACUGUCCAGAAUGAGAAAUGCAGACCUUGUUACAGAAACAGACGACACUGAAGAAGAUGCAAAGGCAAGGGCUUUACUUAAUAAAUUCCUCGGCGCCUCUGUCAUUCUCCAAGGGAUGGAGCAAGGCAUGAGGCACUCCGCGAGUCAGCAAAAGAGCGCAGCCCUUGUUGGCGAAGUCGACAAACAACUGGUGAAAGCCACUACUCGAACGAGAGAAGAAAACAUCGAAGAAAUCUGCGAUAAAGACCAAUUAAAAUUUCUUUUGGAUUCUUGCAGCGAUCUCGAAGAUAAGAGAAAAUUACGAGCCCGGCUACGAGAAGUGAUGGCAGAAGAUAAAGAACAUACUGAAUUAGAACAAACCGAAGGCGAUGGAUUUUCUAGGGCUAAGGUUCACACCCGAGUCACGUCUUCUACUGCAAAAUUGACAAAAGCAAACAGCGUGCAAUCCCCAUUUGCUAAAUUCAAGCAGUUGGAGCGACAAAACUCAGCCCCCAGAACGUCCAAAUAGAUAAUUUCUCUACAAGUUGGAGCGACGGACUUGCUUUCUGUGCACUCAUCCAUCAUUUUUGCCCUGAUGCUUUUGACUUCGCCAUCCUCACACCAGACAAAAGGAGGCACAACUUCGAGCUCGCAUUCAGAGUCGCUGAGGAAAAAGCAGACAUUUAUCCACUUCUUGAUGUUGAGGACAUGGUGACAAUGAGAAAACCAGAUUGGAAAUGUGUCUUUACAUACGUCCAGUCAAUUUAUCAGAAGCUCCAUGAUUCUCCGUUGUCUGUUCCAACUAAUCCUUACCUUUGAUCCACAAGUCUCCGUAUUUAUAUUUUUAAAAUUCUUAGUUGAUUUAAUAAUAUUUGAUGUUAUGUGUGAGGAUGAAGUCUUAAGUAAGUUAUUUAAGUACUAACCUGAAAUUAAUUUUUGACGUCGCUCCAAUUGUUCUUGCUUUGUAUUCCACAUUUAAAACAUAAAUGUUCGCUUAAAUGUAAUUUAUUAUGUACCAUUCUUUGAAUUCUAUGCAUUAUUUUAGUUAAAUGUUAAAAGGAGCUAGUGUAGUUGUCAGAUUUGUUCAAUUAUGAAGGUGAUAUCCUUUAUAAAUGAAAAUUCAUGAUCCUUUGCUCCCAUUUCUAGUUACAAAAAUCUUAAAUGUCUUUCAUCUGGUGUUUAAGAAAAUGCGUUGCCCAUUGAAAUUAAUUGUUUAUAUUUUUAAUUACUGCUUUUAUCUCUUCAAAAAAUUAGCUUUGUUUAAAUUUUUAAUAUUUAAUCUCUAUCCUAGCCCCUAGGUGAUAAAAGAAAGAAACCACUAAAAUAUUGUUGCUUUACUUUUUUUUAUAUUGUAAAUACAAAUACAUACUACAAAUUUUAACAAAACCUAUAUAAAAAAAUUAAUUGGACCUUAAUUUGUGAUCCAAAUUUGUUGCUUUUAUUGCUGUGAUGGAAUAUUUUGAAAUAUAUAAUACAUGUUUAUUUUA